AGUGACGCGGACUGAUGGAUGUCCGUCUAAGCAGUGAGGCUGAUGUGUAGGCAAAUCCGCACAUCGUAAGGCUGGGCUGUGAUGGGGAGCGAAAAUUAUAGUAGCGAAGGUCAUGAUCUCAGACUGCCAAGAAAAGCCUCUAGCCAGGAGAAGGUGCCCGUACCGCAAACCGACACAGGUAGGCGAGAAGAGAAUUCUAAGGCGCGCGGAAGAACUCUCGUUAAGGAACUCGGCAAAAUGACCCCGUAACUUCGGGAGAAGGGGUGCCUCGGUAGGGUGAAUAGCCCGAGGGGGCCGCAGUGAAAAGGCCCAAGCGACUGUUUAGCAAAAACACAGGUCUGUGCGAAGCCGCAAGGCGAAGUAUACGGGCUGACGCCUGCCCGGUGCUGGAAGGUUAAGGGGAGUGGUAAGCCUUCGGGCGAAGCUAUGAACCGAAGCCCCAGUAAACGGCGGCCGUAACUAUAACGGUCCUAAGGUAGCGAAAUUCCUUGUCAGGUAAAUUCUGACCCGCACGAAUGGCGUAACGACUUGGGCGCUGUCUCAACGAGAGAUCCGGUGAAAUUUUAAUACCUGUGAAGAUGCAGGUUACCCGCGACAAGACGGAAAGACCCCAUGGAGCUUUACUGCAGCUUGAUAUUGAAUUUGGGUACGAUCUGUACAGGAUAGGUGGGAGCCGUAGAACCUUGAGCGCCAGCUUGAGGGGAGGCAUCCUUGGGAUACCACCCUGAUCGUAUCUAGGUUCUAACUUGGUACCGUGAUCCGGUACGAGGACAGUGUCAGGUGGGCAGUUUGACUGGGGCGGUCGCCUCCUAAAGAGUAACGGAGGCGCCCCAAGGUUCCCUCAGAAUGGUUGGAAAUCAUUCGAAGAGUGCAAAGGCAGAAGGGAGCUUGACUGCGAGACCUACAAGUCGAGCAGGGACGAAAGUCGGGCUUAGUGAUCCGGUGGUACCGCAUGGAAGGGCCAUCGCUCAACGGAUAAAAGCUACCCUGGGGAUAACAGGCUUAUCUCCCCCAAGAGUCCACAUCGACGGGGAGGUUUGGCACCUCGAUGUCGGCUCAUCGCAUCCUGGGGCUGAAGUAGGUCCCAAGGGUUGGGCUGUUCGCCCAUUAAAGCGGUACGCGAGCUGGGUUCAGAACGUCGUGAGACAGUUCGGUCCCUAUCUGUCGUGGGCGUAGGAAAUUUGAGAGGAGCUGUCCUUAGUACGAGAGGACCGGGAUGGACGUACCGCUGGUGUACCAGUUGUUCCGCCAGGAGCACCGCUGGGUAGCUAUGUACGGAAGGGAUAAGCGCUGAAAGCAUCUAAGCGUGAAGCCCCCCUCAAGAUGAGA
RNAcentral lists this ribosomal RNA (1329 nucleotides) under Paenibacillus polymyxa. Its description in RNAcentral is "partial 23S ribosomal RNA". It matches the Rfam family "Bacterial large subunit ribosomal RNA", at positions 1484 to 2809 of the family's 2925-position model. The record is from RNAcentral. Lineage: Bacteria; Bacillati; Bacillota; Bacilli; Caryophanales; Paenibacillaceae.